CAAGGGUUUAGGGUUUACCUAAGGGUUUAAGGUUUACCCAAGGGUUUAGGGUUUUCCCAAGGAUUUAGGGUUUAGGAUUAGAGUUUAGGGUUUAGUGUUUUGUUGACAACAUGUUUAGUGUUUUUCCAAGGAUUUAGGGUUUACCCAAAGGUUUAGAGUUUAGGAUAUGAGUUUAGGGUUUAGUAUUAGAGUUUAGGGUUUAGUGUUUUGUUGACAAUAUUUUUUUUUUUGAAUUUGUUUUUUAUAUAUUAUUUUUAUUUAUUUUUAAAUUUUAUUUUGAAAAGAUAAUAUAAUUUGCCAAGUUAUUUGGUUUCUUUAAUUAAAAGAUACUAAAUCUAAACUGACAAUUUUCUAUUGGUUGGUAAAGCUAAAGGUUCACCCUAGGGGGUGAACCCAAGAAUAACUCAAAUUAUAUUCAUUAGAAGUUCCAAUGACCCAAGGGAGCAUAUUUAACGAGGAUAGAGGUCGGUGAUAGUUAUUUCAUUAAUGCUCUGAGAAUAUGAACUGAUUGUGAUACAGCGAAACUCAAUGAUCAAUAUAGAUUUCGUAUAACUCGAUCCAAAGUAAGAAUUACAAAGAAUCGAUCUCACCACGCCAAGAGCUUACUAGUAGAAACAGCUCAAUAACGAUGAUAAGAAAACCUCACAAACUCUCAGAGAAAAGACUCAAGAAAAGUUUACUCCAAAAUAUCUGAUGAUCUCCAAAUGAUUCCUCCUCUCCUCCCUUUAUUCUUCUUCUUCUUCGUUUCUGUAACAAACUCCAACCGAAUCUUCA
This 774-nucleotide long non-coding RNA is filed under the name Brassica rapa (field mustard). RNAcentral's name for it is "long non-coding RNA (BRAP_LNC002222)". Lineage: Eukaryota; Viridiplantae; Streptophyta; Magnoliopsida; Brassicales; Brassicaceae. The record is from RNAcentral.